Unclassified non-coding RNA from Macaca mulatta (Rhesus monkey), 148 nucleotides. It matches the Rfam family "Metazoan signal recognition particle RNA". From Rfam's summary of the family: The signal recognition particle (SRP) is a universally conserved ribonucleoprotein. It is involved in the co-translational targeting of proteins to membranes. Lineage: Eukaryota; Metazoa; Chordata; Mammalia; Primates; Cercopithecidae. The record is from Ensembl.
GCUGGGUGUGGUGGUGCAUACCUGCAGUCCUAGCUACUUGGGAAACUGAGGCAGGAGGAUCACUUGAGCCCAGGAGAUUGAGGCUGCAGUGAGCUGUGAUGUUGCUACUGUACUCCAGCCUGGGCAACAGAGUGAGACCCUGCCUCAA